AUUGAAUAUGCUUCUCAAUAUGCAAUUGAGCACUUAGUCAUAGGCUCUUCAAACAAAGGUGGUUUUCUUAGAUUCAAGAUAGCAGAUAUUCCAGGAACAGUCUCAAAAGGGGCACCAGAUUUCUGCACAGUAUAUGUUGUUACUAAAGGGAAGAUUCAAUCCAUGCGAUCUGCUUCUCGUGCUGCUCCAACCUUUUCCCCUCUUCAAAACCAACUUUCUCAACACAGUGGCAGAUUAGACCUACCAGAACCACGUGUAGUCAAAGGGCUUGAAAGGAGGUCUUUUGAAGCACCACGCCGUAUAUCACAUGAUGAACCAGAGCCCUUCAGG
RNAcentral lists this small RNA (330 nucleotides) under Vigna angularis var. angularis. RNAcentral's name for it is "Non-protein coding transcript". The record is from RNAcentral. Lineage: Eukaryota; Viridiplantae; Streptophyta; Magnoliopsida; Fabales; Fabaceae.